This is a long non-coding RNA of Chionomys nivalis (European snow vole), 403 nucleotides long. RefSeq lists it as uncharacterized. The transcript has 3 exons. NCBI's taxonomy places the organism in Eukaryota, Metazoa, Chordata, Mammalia, Rodentia, Cricetidae. The record is from RefSeq and is a predicted model, not a curated record.
GAACUGAAGCAUAGCCAAAUCCCUCAACACAGAAAAAAAAAAUCACUUAACAGCAAAAAGCAACUUCAUCCUGUUUCACUUCAUGGCUUUCACUUCCAAAUAUGGAAUAUAAGUAUCUGGAAAGCAAGUUGGAACUUGUUUUCAUCUCCAGAGAGAAAAGAUAAUAUUGGAUCAGAACCUUCAUCUGGCGAUGGAUGGAGAUAGAGACAGAGACCCACAUUGGAGCACCGGAAUGAGCUCCCAAGGUCCCAAUGAGGAGCAGAAGGAGGGAGAACAUGAACAAGGAAGUCAGGACCAUGAGGGGUGCACCCACCCACUGAGACAGAGGGACUGAUCUAUUGGGAGCUCACCAAGGCCAGCUGGACUGGAACUGAAAAAGCAUGGAAUAAAACCGGACUCUCUG